GAAGGCGCCAUCCUGCCUGCCACAGGAAGGGCCUUGGACUGAGAGGACCGGAGCUGACUGGGGAUUAUUCAAAGCCAAAAGCCAACAGAGCCCCCAUGGAGAAGUGGAGGAUGCUCAGAUACUGCUAUGGAGCCCUGAGAAGUGAAAUGGGUCCAAGCCCUUGCCCAGGAUAGAGCGCUCCAAGCGCAUCCUCCGGGGACCCUUUUAAUCAGUGAAUUGUUCACCUCUCACUGUUUCUUCCCAGCAGAGCUAAGAGACUUCUAGAGCCUCUUGUGGAUGGUCAGCGAUAGCCCUGGUAUGACCAGGAGGUGGCGAUUUCUGUUCUAGGUCCCUCAGCAAAGACUAAGCAGGACAAGCCUGGCUACUGUGUUAGGAGGAG
RNAcentral lists this long non-coding RNA (379 nucleotides) under Homo sapiens (human). Its description in RNAcentral is "non-protein coding MIR122HG:13". Lineage: Eukaryota; Metazoa; Chordata; Mammalia; Primates; Hominidae. The record is from RNAcentral.